Equus caballus (horse) is the source of this 2063-nucleotide non-coding RNA. The record is from RefSeq and is a predicted model, not a curated record. Lineage: Eukaryota; Metazoa; Chordata; Mammalia; Perissodactyla; Equidae.
ACAGCAAUAGUUAUUUUCCUCCUCAGGAGCAGAUUGAGAGUCUUUCUAAAUUCCUCUGGCAAUGUGAACAGGCAGGAAGGGCCUAGGACACUGGGGCCUGGCAUGCUCUUCCCUGAGGAUGCAGCCUUGUACACGGGAGAGCAAAGUUCUGCAAACUUAGAACCAUACACUCCUCUAUGACAACACAGAGAGUUUGUAACAAAAUAGUCAGCCUUUCAACUUGCAAAAAGAACUGUGUCAAGUUAAAAGGAUGUCAUGGUAGUGCCUUCAGGAAAGUUGGAUGAGAGAAUGCUCAUAGGAAACACCAAAUCACCAAACAAAGUAUGGGAGGGAGUUGAGCAGACCUGUCUCUUUCUCUUCCCUAUUUAUUACUUCUAAAAUUAAAAUUCUGUAGUCAUAGAGUGGCUUAUUCCUUGGAACCAGGAUCUUAGGAUCUUAUCUGGUUACAUAUUUUGUGAGCUCAGCAAGGUUACUAAAUCUUUCUGAGUCUUGAUGCCUCAUGUGUAAAAGAUAAUGAUCAUUCUUGGUUGUUUCUUUGUGUGUAUGGAUUAGGAAUAAUUUCUUCAAUGGAUUUAUCAAAGCUCUUGGUACCAAGUAGGUGUUUAGUAAAAGCAGCUAUUUAUUAAGUUAAUGAUGAAGAUGGUACAAUUAGCAAAGGCAUUAGCUGUAGAAUCACUAAGUAGAGAACUAGAGCAGAGAUGCUUGAUGGAUCACAAAUUGAACACUAGUGACAAUAUAAUCAUAUUACUUUACAGUUAAAAUAAUUAGAGGAUGCAUUAAAAGCCCCAUAAAAGAAAAAUGAAAGUGAAUCAGAAUGAAGAAGGAAAACUAAUUGGAAGGAGUUAUCAACUCUAAGUGUCUGAAAAGGUCUUGGAGAGCAGCUUUGUUAGAAAGCGAUCCCAGAGAUUGAUUGAUGCAUUGGUUACAAAGGUGCAUAUAUUUGAAAAAACAUACCAUAUUGCAUAUUUUAUGUGUUUUUUUACCAUAUGAAAAUCAGCCCUUAAAAGAAAAAUAAUGAAUAACAGUACACAUCAAUAGCAUGGUUACAAUUAAAAAAAAAGUGUUGGUAAGAAUGGAGAAUAAUUGGAAUCUUAGUAAAUGACUAGUGAGAUUAUUAAUGGCAUGAGUGCUUGAGAAACUAGAUUUUAGCAGUAUCUACUAAAGCUGAACAUAUGCACACCCUAUGACCUAGCAAUUCCAAUCUUACAUGUAUACCCAACAGUAUGGUGUAUGUAAUUCCCCAAAAGACAUGCGCAAGAAUGUUCAUAGCAGUGUUUAUCAUAAAUAGCCAAAAUCAAGAUAGUCUACAUGUUCAUCAACAGCAAAAUGGAUAGAUAAAAUGUGGCAUAUAUAGAUUCCAUUGAAUCUAUAUAGCUAUGAGAAUGAACAGACUACCCACAUGCAACACCUUGGAUGAAUAUAAAAACAAUGUUAAGCAAAAGAGCAAAAUACAAAAGAGUACAUAAUGUGUGGCUCAUUUAUACAAAAUUUAAAACCAGGUAAAAUUCAUCUAUGGCAUUGGAAAUCAACAAAGUGGUUACCCUUAGAUGGAAUUUGCAGGGAUUGAUAUGAGAAAGGAGGAGGAGUCAAAGGUGUAACAAUGUUUUCUUUCUUGAUUUGGGUGUUGGUUGCAUAGGUGGGUUUACAUUGUGAAACUUCAGUGAGCUGUAACCUUUAUGGCUAUGUUUGACUUCAGAAGAAAGGUUACACAGAAUUUUAAAAACCUCACAACACUGACCGUAGGAAAGCCGCACGUGAGAAGGACUUAGAAGCCUUAUAUGAGGGAAGAUUAACAGAGAGAUCCAGGCUUUCCAGGGAAAGGAUGGGAGACCAAUUCUAUAAAGAAGUUUAUAAGUUUAAGUGAUGGAAAAUUAGAUGAAGAACAUUCCAAAAUCCAGGAAAAAAAUUACACGAUUUCUACUUGUGAGAGAAAUUUUUCCAAAGAGAAGGAUCAGAGACUCGUAUGAAGACAUAGUAAGUACAUUUACUUCAGCUUGGCAUAUGCAGUGGGAUGUAAAUAUUUUGCUCUAUUACCAAUAAGAAUAAAUAAGCUAUGUAGAGUC